Astatotilapia calliptera (eastern happy) is the source of this 1624-nucleotide long non-coding RNA. Lineage: Eukaryota; Metazoa; Chordata; Actinopteri; Cichliformes; Cichlidae. The record is from Ensembl.
UAGGCGAUGACAUUCGAGAGUCACACCAUUCUUACUGUCUUUUAACUGCAGGUAAUCAUCAAACAUGGACAGCCUUCAUGUCAUUCUUGUCCUUCUUUUAGGAGGUCAUUGGAUUUCUGGAUCAGUGGUGGAUUUGACAGUGACAUCAGGACAGAACGUCACUCUGAAUUGUGACUGUGAAGCAUUUUCUGAGGAAUAUAUUGUGUGGUACAGAAAUUGUACCCAUGAAAAUCAGCCUCCUCUUGUUCUGAAACUAAAAGAAGAUGCAUGGAAAAAAAUCAGUGACCGAGCAAUUUCAGUGAAUUCUCUAUUACGCUUCCACUUUAAAAAGAAUCAGUCCUCUGGAUCCUAUGAUCUGCUGAUCAUGAAUAUUUCUGAUUCUGAUGAGGGCCUCUAUUACUGUGGAACUGAAAAGGAACAGUGGGUAGAUGGCACAAGCGUUCAGGUCAGAUAUGACCACAGAUAUGCCAGUAUCGCAACAAGAAUCUUAAUCAAUUCACCUCACACAAGUCCUUGCCCUGAUUCCAGUCCUUGCCCUGACUCCACUCUUCACUCUGACUCCAAUACUCGACCUGACUCCACUCCUCGUGCUGUCUACGACAGAACCUGUGGUUCCAGUCUCGUGCCCUGGCUGAUGAUGUUUACACCAGGAUUUUCUAUUCUCAUUUCAUUUUUUUCCUUUAUUUUUAUUUAUCAGUUGUGUCGGAAAACAGAAAAAGAACUUCAAUUUUUUCAGAACAGACCAGAUCACAAUAAUCAAAGGAGACAGAAUGAGGUAAACUUUCUCUUCUUCAUUUUCUUAUCUACACUUGUUUUUGUUUUUUUUAUUGCAUAAACAGCUGUGUGUGGGUCACUAUUCAAAAGAGUAAUGUAAUACACAUUAUUAUCAAUUACUUACUAUAAGAUCAUCAAUUACUGUACAAAAUUACAAAAUGAUGGAUAAUUUUUUUUAGCUAGUCAUUACAAUGUUUUUACAUCACAUAGCUAGCAGUUAACUAUAUAAACCUUCUGUUACAGUCCCACACAUUAACAUAAUCUCUAUCCUAAUGGGAAUGAACCCAGGUGAUUAACUUUUAACAUAAAGAAAAGGAAAGGGGAAAAAAACUUUUAACAAAAAGCUGACAGCGUUAGAAAACAGACCAAAUAGAAUAGAAUAGAAUAGAUCUUUAUUGUCACUGUUACAAGAACAAUGAGACACAGUUUUGCACCAUGUAGAUUUAGAUUCGAAUUCUUUUAGGAUAGGAGAAUAAGAUAAAAUAGACUUAAGUUUCUGCAAAGUUACAUAAGUAUCUACACAAAAAAAAGGAUUGUUGUUGUGGCCUGGGCACAGUUUCAACUCUGUCACCACAUGCAUGUCUUUUUGUGAAAUAAAAAUAUCCAGUCUCUUUAAAAUCUGUAGACUGCUGUACAGUUUAUCGUUUCCCACCACAUACUCUAAAGUGAGCUCAUUAUACCACAAAUGCAAGGGGGGAUAAUUACUGAUGUGACUCAUGUGAUUACUGAAUUUAUUACAGUUAUUCAUUACAUUACUAUACUUGGGAAUUGAGUAGAACCAACUCUUCUCAGUAGUUCAGUUCCUUGGAAUUCAGUUCACUUCCUUGGAAAUUAACUAGUCUGCAGCCUU